UGCUCUUGCUUCUCUAGUUCUUUUAAUUGUGAUGUUAGGGUGUCAAUUUUAGAUCUUUCCUGCUUUCUCUUGUGGGCAUUUAGUGCUAUAAAUUUCCCUCUACACACUGCUUUGAACGUGUCCCAGAGAUUCUGGUAUGUUGUGUCCUUGUUCUCGUUGGUUUCAAAGAACAUCUUUAUUUCUGCCUUCAUUUUGUUAUGUACCCAGUAGUCAUUCAAGAGCAGGUUGUUCAGUUUCCAUGUAGUUGAGUGGUUUUGAGUGCGGCUGCUUUGUUUACCUACUCAAGCCUCAGCAAUGGUGGGUGCCUCUCCCCCAGCCUCGCUGCCGCCUUGCAGUUUGAUCUCAGACUGCUGUGCUAGCAAUGAGCGAGGCUCCGUGGGCGUAGGACCCUCCGAGCCAUGUGCGGGAUAUAAUCUCCUGGUGUGCCG
This 428-nucleotide long non-coding RNA is filed under the name Homo sapiens (human). RNAcentral's name for it is "non-protein coding lnc-DRICH1-2:4". The record is from RNAcentral. Lineage: Eukaryota; Metazoa; Chordata; Mammalia; Primates; Hominidae.